UACAGAGGGUGCAAGCGUUAAUCGGAAUUACUGGGCGUAAAGGGCGCGUAGGCGGGUCAUUAAGUUAGUUGUGAAAUCCCUGGGCUUAACCUAGGAACUGCACCUAAUACUGAUGAUCUAGAGUGCUGUAGAGGGUAGUGGAAUUUCCGGUGUAGCGGUGAAAUGCGUAGAUAUCGGAAGGAACACCAGUGGCGAAGGCGGCUACCUGGACAGACACUGACGCUGAGGCGCGAAAGCGUGGGGAGCAAACAGG
RNAcentral lists this ribosomal RNA (253 nucleotides) under uncultured prokaryote. RNAcentral describes it as "partial 16S ribosomal RNA". It matches the Rfam family "Bacterial small subunit ribosomal RNA", at positions 524 to 776 of the family's 1533-position model. The record is from RNAcentral.